GAUGAACGCUGGCGGCGUGCCUAAUACAUGCAAGUCGAGCGAACAGACGAGGAGCUUGCUCCUCUGACGUUAGCGGCGGACGGGUGAGUAACACGUGGAUAACCUACCUAUAAGACUGGGAUAACUUCGGGAAACCGGAGCUAAUACCGGAUAAUAUAUUGAACCGCAUGGUUCAAUAGUGAAAGACGGUCUUGCUGUCACUUAUAGAUGGAUCCGCGCUGCAUUAGCUAGUUGGUAAGGUAACGGCUUACCAAGGCAACGAUGCGUAGCCGACCUGAGAGGGUGAUCGGCCACACUGGAACUGAGACACGGUCCAGACUCCUACGGGAGGCAGCAGUAGGGAAUCUUCCGCAAAGGGCGAAAGCCUGACGGAGCAACGCCGCGUGAGUGAUGAAGGUCUUCGGAUCGUAAAACUCUGUUAUUAGGGAAGAACAAAUGUGUAAGUAACUAUGCACGUCUUGACGGUACCUAAUCAGAAAGCCACGGCUAACUACGUG
This 497-nucleotide ribosomal RNA is filed under the name uncultured bacterium. RNAcentral describes it as "partial 16S ribosomal RNA". It matches the Rfam family "Bacterial small subunit ribosomal RNA", at positions 28 to 507 of the family's 1533-position model. The record is from RNAcentral.